GAUGAACGCUGGCGGCGUGCCUAAUACAUGCAAGUCGAGCGAACAGAUGAGGAGCUUGCUCCUCUGACGUUAGCGGCGGACGGGUGAGUAACACGUGGAUAACCUACCUAUAAGACUGGGAUAACUUCGGGAAACCGGAGCUAAUACCGGAUAAUAUAUUGAACCGCAUGGUUCAAUAGUGAAAGACGGUUUUGCUGUCACUUAUAGAUGGAUCCGCGCCGCAUUAGCUAGUUGGUAAGGUAACGGCUUACCAAGGCAACGAUGCGUAGCCGACCUGAGAGGGUGAUCGGCCACACUGGACCUGAGACACGGUCCAGACUCCUACGGGAGGCAGCAGUAGGGAAUCUUCCGCAAUGGGCGAAAGCCUGACGGAGCAACGCCGCGUGAGUGAUGAAGGUCUUCGGAUCGUAGAACUCUGUUAUUAGGGAAGAACAAAUGUGUAAGUAACUAUGCACGUCUUGACGGUACCUAAUCAGAAAGCCACGGCUAACUACGU
Molecule: ribosomal RNA, 496 nt
Filed under: uncultured bacterium
Lineage: Bacteria
Description: partial 16S ribosomal RNA
Rfam family: Bacterial small subunit ribosomal RNA
Source: RNAcentral